Molecule: non-coding RNA, 2142 nt
Organism: Procambarus clarkii (red swamp crayfish)
Lineage: Eukaryota; Metazoa; Arthropoda; Malacostraca; Decapoda; Cambaridae
Source: RefSeq, a predicted model, not a curated record
GUUUCUCAUACAUUGGGUAUAUAUACUUUAGUUUUCAUACAUAAUUGUCAUGAAUUACUAGAUUAUCCAAUUAGGUGGAGCCGACCAAUGAGAGUAGAGGUUGCGAGAAGUGACGUCAAUUGAAAAAUCGAAACGUGAUUGGCUGUUGAGUCGACUUGGUGGGUGAGGCUCGACGGAACGUUAUUUUGACCCCAGUAUUGGCAUAGUUGUGGUGUACAAGUUAGUGUUAGGGCGUGAUGUUACUCUGAGCUGGUACCCCGUUACCCUUUGGGGUCGCUAGGGCUGACAGAUCCCCUAGCUUACACUCAUAUUGUACACCCGCAAAACGCCAAUACAUAGGGGCUAUUAAGUGAAUGAGGUAAUGGUUGGAAGAAGAGGCAUCGCUUGAAAGGAGCCUACUGGUGAUGUAGGAAUGUGGAGGAGACUACCGUUGUGAUGGGACCAGUGGUGGACCGAUGAAACAAGUCUUGGACGAUGCCGAGCAGAAGGUGGUUGCAGAUGUCGAGGUAAUACCGGACUGGUUGCCAGGACCCCUGGGCUGUCUGGAAGUUGAACAGUGAGACGCUUCAACUUCACGAAUAAUGAACACUUGCCAGUAAGUGACCGACUAGGGAAGGCGCACAAGGUACACCAUUGAUGAACAAGGAAAAGGGAUGGAGCCCGAGGGCAGACUACUGCAGCCAUGAGGUCGAGACACACACACUUAAUUACAGCGGGCAGCCGCCGCGUUGGGGCUUCGGGAUUGGGGAUGCUCCGGCGGAGCCCCCAAAGUGAUAACCCUGGAGAUAGCUAAGAGGUAUUCCCAUGAAUUCAGUCUUGAAGGACCGAUGAUUGGAGUCAUACCCUGCCGAGCAGAAGGUGCUGGCAGAUGUUCCAGUUGUGCUACUUGAGUUACCAAGAUCAGCGUGUGGAGAGGAGGUGGGAGCUGGGCGAAACAGAGCAAUGGUGAAGUGUGUAUUUGUGAAGAAAGCCGCAUUGGUGGAGGGCAACCAACGCCACACUGCAGAGUAAUGGAAGAGGCUGUGACCUGCAGUUUCGCAGGUGACACGCUUGAGUACCCUCGACGUGGAUGACGUUGGUACCAUCCUGUGUAGUUACUCUAGGGACACAACCUCCAGCUGUUGAAGGAUCAAGUUUGUGUUCCAUACAAGAACCGACUACGGAAGGAGCACAAGGUACAGCAUUGGUGAAGAAGUAAAAUGGAUGGAGCCCGCGGGGAGAGUACUGCGCCCAUGAGGUCGACAGAGAUUCCUAGUUACAGCGGGCAGCCGCCGCGUUCGCCCUUCGGUGUGUUCAGCGGGAACCCCCAAAGUGAUAAGCCUGUAGAUAGGCAAGAAAUAAUCGCAUGAAUUGUAUAUAGUGUAAUGAAAUGAAUGCAAGUUUAAUAUAGUACGUAUAGAUGUAGUUAUUAAUUGUAAAUCAUUAUAAAUAAUGCAUUUAUUAUUAUUAUGGAGUAAAUCGUUAUCAAAUAAAUAGUUAAUAAUAUCUAAUAAAAUAAAUGUUACCAUUAAAAAAAAAUAUAUAUGAAUAAUACCUUUGACGUUUGUAAUAUGUUUGACUUGCACAAUAGUUACUGUGUGAGGAAAUCCCGUAUGUCACUGAAUGUGAGGGACAUGGCCAAGAUAGUUUUAAUAUUAAUCAUGGAAGAAAGUAUAGUGAGAAUAUUAUGUUUGAGCGUUAAUGUGUUAAAAUUUGUUGGGGUGGAUGUACAAUAAUAUACCUAGAUAGUACUAUAUUAACGUGAAAUUUGAAUGUUGUAUAUGUGAAGUUUUGGAGCUUGAAUGGGUAGAAAUACCCAAAGGUACUCGUGAGUUUAUAAUAUGAUUUAGUUCAGUUGUCUCCAAUAACAUAGUUGAAGUUGAAUACAUAAGGUUGUUUGUAGUGUCAACUUAUUCAUAAGUAUAGAAACUUCAAUAAUUAGUGUAGCACUUAAAAUUGUGUUUGUGUGAUAUCAUUAUGAUAGACAGUAUAGCUCGGAGCUACAAGAAAUGUUCCCAAAGAGUCUAACAUUUAUAUGGUGUGCUUACUAUAUUAAACAGGAUUCUUGUAUUGUGUAUUUUUAGGGCCGUUUGAGGUUCUGCAAGUAGAGUAUAAAUACCCUAAAGUACUGUAUCCCUUUGAGAUGUAUUUAUUAUUGUGUCA